This is a non-coding RNA of Callithrix jacchus (white-tufted-ear marmoset), 4184 nucleotides long. The record is from RefSeq and is a predicted model, not a curated record. Lineage: Eukaryota; Metazoa; Chordata; Mammalia; Primates; Cebidae.
GCGUUUUGGGGAUCGGCUCGGUUUUUGUUUUUGUGUUUGAGAUAGGGUGUCGCUCCGUCGCCGGGGCUGGAGUGCGGUGACAUGAUCUCGGCUCACUGCAGUCUUCGCCUCGCGGGCCUCAGGGAUUCUCCCGCCUCAGACUCUUGAGUAACUAGGAUUGCAGGUGGGCACCACCACGCCCAGCUAAUUUUUUGUAUUUAGUUUUUGUAGAGACGGGGUUUCUCCAUGUCGCUCAGGCUGGUCUCAAACUCCGCCCGCCUAGGCCUCCCAAAGUACUGGGACUACAGGUGUCCCAAGUGAGCCACUGCGCCCAGACUCUGGCCGGUUUUGCUAAGUUGCGUUAGACUGGUCCGAGCACCAUCUGUAGUCCUGGAAGGGGCAAAAAUGCGCCUGCAUUUUCAGCCAAGGAAGAGCAAGAGGGGUACUGGGGUGCAUUAGGAAGUGCUAAGUGCGUUAGGAAGUGCUACAUCCCACCCCUUUUCCUGACGCCAUGACGAGGACUAUAAGAAGAGUUUGCACAGACGUCCUAGGCUCUUUUCUAGACGCUCGAGACACAGCCGUGGACAAAAUCAGCCCUUAUGGAAAUUACAUCCUUCCUAGUGAAAUGCGUUUCAUACCAAAUUUCAUUUCAUUUUCACAACCCCUAAAGAUUGGUAAUUGCGGCCAGGCACAGUGGCUCAUGCCUAUAAUCCCAGCAUUUUGGGAGGCUGAGGGGGAGGAUGGCUUGAGCCCAGGAGCUGGAGACCAGUCCGGGCAACACAGUGGGACCCUGUCUCUACAAAAAUACCUUUUUUUAAAAUUAGCCAGGUUCUGUGCCACACUUGUAGUCCGAGCUGCUCGGAGGUUUGAGGCUGGAGGAUUGCUUGAGCCCAGGAGAUAUUAUCACACCACUGUACCACAGCCUGGGUGACAGAGCAAGACCCUGCCUCAAAAAACAAAAACAAAAACCAACAUCUGCUACUCGCAUACCUGCUUCAGAUCCUUGGAGAGAAAAGCCCGGUUCAGAGCCAUGACUAAGGAGGUGAUGAAUGGUUAGUUCAGAGCACAAAGCCCUAUCAUCUACUCAUCUCUAGACCAUUGGCCCUUUUGUGCAAAAGGCAAGACAGUUUCCUCUUUCUAAGUCAUCUGGUGUCUAACAGCCCAGCAGCCUUGGAAUCAGACGAGUAUCCAUAAGCCUAUACCUGGGCCUGCUCCUGUAAUUAUUACUCUCAUUUUCCAGCAUGCUCUAGGCAGCCUUGAUUCUAAUCCUUGCCUGUCCCAGUGGUCUUUGUGUCUGACCUUCUGAGGUCUUUGGCUGCCUUCGUCUUCCUCUGAUGUGAGUACCAGCGAUGAUGUUUCACUUUUCUCCCUACCUGGGACUACAAACAGGAAGCUUGUGCACUUCUGCUUGUGAGAGGAUACCUCAGAAGAAAUUUGGAAGCUUGUUUUCUGAUCUCUGAUACCAUUUGCCAGAGAAAUCUGCUGUCUCUGGGAAGGAUGAGCAUGAUGUCAGAGGAGUACACAGUUUAUGUGUAAGCAAGAUGGAGGCUGACCUGUCUGGCUUUAAUAUUGAUGUCCCCCGCUGGGACCAGCGCACCUUCCUGGGGAGAGUGAAGCACUUCCUGAACAUCACGGACCCCCGCACUGUCUUCGUGUCUGAGCGGGAGCUGGAUUGGGCCAAGGUGAUGGUGGAGAAGACCAGGAUGGGGGUUGUGCCCCCGGGCACCCAAGUGGAGCAGCUGCUGUACGCCAAGAAGCUUUAUGACUCGGCCUUCCACCCUGACACUGGGGAGAAGAUGAACAUCAUUGGGCGCAUGUCCUUCCAGCUCCCUGGUGGCAUGAUCAUCACUGGCUUUAUGCUCCAGUUCUACAGGACGAUGCCGGCGGUGAUCUUCUGGCAGUGGGUGAACCAGUCCUUCAAUGCCUUAGUCAACUAUACCAACAGGAAUGCGGCUUCCCCCACAUCAGUCAGGCAGAUGGCCCUUUCUUACUUCACAGCCACAACCACUGCUGUGGCCACGGCUGUGGGCAUGAACAUGUUGACAAAGAGAGCGCCACCCUUGGUGGGCCGCUGGGUACCCUUUGCUGCGGUGGCUGCUGCUAACUGUGUCAAUAUCCCCAUGAUGCGACAGCAGGAGCUCAUCCAGGGAAUCUGCGUGAAGGACAGGAAUCAAAAUGAGAUUGGUCAUUCCCGGAGAGCUGCAGCCAUAGGCAUCACCCAAGUAGUUAUUUCUCGGAUCACCAUGGCAGCUCCUGGCAUGAUCUUGCUGCCAGUUAUCAUGGAAAGGCUUGAGAAAUUGCACUUCAUGCAGAAGGUCAAGGUCCUGCACGCCCCGUUACAGGUCAUGCUGUGUGGGUGCUUCCUCAUCUUCAUGGUGCCAGUGGCGUGUGGGCUCUUCCCACAGAUAUGGUAUCUGCUGUUCAUUCCUCACUUGGUUUCAUUGACCACCCUGCCAGUGCUGUCCCUGACCUGCCUGCUGUCCAGAAGGAGACAGGGAAGGGGCAGGAAGGGCAGCACCUGUCCAAGGACAAGUAUCUAUCAGCUUAAAGACUGGGCCUCUUAACCCUGGUGAACUUUGGCACAACAGAUCUGUGAGGGGCAGGAAUAAGGUUGCUCCCUCCCAGUGGAGCAAGGGCUGCCUUGGAGAGAAGUGAAUUGCCGGUUUCCUAUCUGGAACCAGAGCUCCAAGACACCAUCAAGGCCAAGUAUAGAGAACUUGUGCCUUAUGUCUACUUCAAUAAGGGUCUCUAAAUGCCCCACAUCAGCAAGGACCAGUCUGUUCCCAUAUUCACCAGCUCCUCCUUAGCUAUGUGCACACUUGUGCCCUCCUUCCUCUUUGCCAGCAAAGCCUGAAGGCCAGGGUAGAUUGGGGGGUACGACAAUGAAUGCCUCAUGCUUACACCCUGGCACCUGGUUGAUUGGACUCCAGGGGUGAAAAGUGAAAAAGGGAAGCAAAGGCCAACGUCUUGAAGCUGCUUCCUCCUUAGCCCUUGUCCCCUGGAGACCAGAAGCUGAGGCCCUUUCAGGGAGGAGACCGCAAGUAAAAGGUAGGAAACUUUUAGGAUUCUGGUUCCAGCCAGGACUAGGGAAAAGCCCUUGGUUCAAAAGGAAGUUUCUACACCUCUUUCUUCUUCACUUCCUCCUCCUCUCCCGAGCAAUGGAACAUUUUACCCAGGCAAUUUUAGCCAAAUAUAGGAAAAAGAAGGGGGGAAGGACUCUGUCCCCUUGGGGCUCAUCUCCACCCUCCUCAUUGCCUCCUUGUCGGAUAGUUGUGUUUUUUUUUUUUUUAGCCGGAGUCUCUCUUUGUUGCCCAGGCUGGAAUGCGGUGGCUCGAUCUUGGCUCACUGCAAUCUCUGCCUCCUGGGUUCAAGCAGUUCUCCUGCCUCAGCCUCCCAAAUAGCUGGGACUACAGGUGCCCACCACCACACCCGGCUAAUUUUUGUAUUUUUAGUAGAGACAGGGGUUCACCAUAUCGGCCAGGCUUGUCUCGAACUCCUGACCUCAUGUGAUCUGCCCGCCUUGGCCUCCCAAAGUGUUGGGAUUACAGGCAUGAGCCACCGCACCCGACAGGGAGCUUCUUUGGGAGAACUGCUAACCUUGAAAUGACCAGACACCCAGGAGUUAUUAGUGCUGAAAAGGAGACCAUGUAAGGCAGCAGAGUUACAUGGUUCUUCAAAUCAUGUCCGAAUCUAUUCUUGGAGUCUUCUCUGUAAUAAGGGAAGUUCUUUUUCCCCACGGCCAUAUAUCUCUAUUUUAAAAAAUAAGUCCAUUAACUGUGAGUAAAAAUGAUGUAUGCAGGCAGUAACCACACACUUUAAUGGGUAUAAUUUCCUGGCUACCUCCCUUCCUCCGCCCAUUAGGUUAACCACCAAAGAAAGACUGGUGUAUACUGAAUAGCAAAGGGAAGUUUUAUUUGGACCCUUCUAAGAGGAAAUUAACCAGGACCAAAGAGCUUUAAAGGACAUUCAGCAAAGCACAGCCACUUCCCCUCCCCAGCUUAGCUGCCCUAGGUGGUUUCUCAAGCUCCCUGGGGGAUUGUUAUGGCUCAUCUGGAAUCAAUGUGUGUGUAAGUUUUGUCUGGUAGGAUUGCUGACUCUGUCCAAAAGAUACCACUAUGAAUUGAAUAAAUGUCUUGAAAGAGCACACAGGCACACACGCACACAAACUGUAAACUAAGUUAAUAAAGCCUGAAUGGAAAGCCGGA